AUGUCUUUCCCUCACCUGAGCUCCAUAGGCCGCCUAGUCGAGGGCAUCGUGAGCUUGGGCAACACCGAAUGGCUUGAGUUUUGCAUAUCCCUGCCACCCACCGAGCCGCUGGGCAGAGCCAUCGAGAUUGGGCAGGAGUUCAUGGCCUUCUCCCGUGCCUACCCAGUCGCCUUCUCAUGGCUCACGACGCUUACGCUCGAAUAUCAUGAUUUUGGACAUUCGGGCAUCACUGACCUCAUUCGCACUUGCGGUAGGCUCAGGCACCUCAAGCUGAGAGUCUGCAGACUGCUUGACCUGCACUCCACGCUCAAGAUUGAUGUGUCGUGCUCUCAGCUCCAGGAGCUCGAGUUCAUCGGAUUUGGAUGCACGCGGAUCAAGCUCGUCUCUGUCCCGAAGCUUAGGCAAGUGGAGUGCUAUCGUUGGCUCUUCAAGAACACUCCAGUGCGCUUCGGCUACGUUCCUGAGCUUCGCGGUUUAGUACUCUCUUCUAAAGCUAAGGCAUGGCAAGAGCCAUUCGCACUGAGCGAGUGCCUGUCAACGAGUACCGUUGCCAGGAACCUGUCAAAACUGACUCUGUGUUUUGGGUACCAAAUGAUUUGGAUUCAGCCAGAAUCUCCGAAGCAGCUUGUUGUUAUGUUCAGAAACCUGACCUCUGUGCGUCUUUUCCGUAUCAUCAGUGAGUGUGAUCUGAGCUGGACACUGUUUAUCCUUGAAGCUGCACCGGCCCUACAAGAUAUGACAUUAUCUCGACAUUCAUGUGUGAAGACGCCCGAGAAGAGUGCCGAGAAGACCAACGUGGUGUGGGAACCAUCCAAGGAUUUAAAGCACCUGAACUUGAAGGUGCUGCAGAUCUACGGGUGCGAGGAUGAAGACAAGGUGAGAAACUAUAUAAGGCUUGUCAUGGAACGAGCUGUGGGGCUUUUUAUAAUCCAGUUGUAUGGUGAAAGCCCAUGCAUGUACUGCGAUGCCACCAACCUUGAAAGAUCAGACGCGGAAAAAACUAGCAGGCGUUGGAUUAAGGAGCAACUCACAUAUGGAUCAUCCUCAUCUGUGGAGAUAAUUAUUUGUUGA
RNAcentral lists this ribosomal RNA (1071 nucleotides) under Triticum aestivum (bread wheat). RNAcentral's name for it is "partial small subunit ribosomal RNA". Lineage: Eukaryota; Viridiplantae; Streptophyta; Magnoliopsida; Poales; Poaceae. The record is from RNAcentral.